This is an RNA transcript of Eucalyptus grandis, 2593 nucleotides long. It is a transcript of the gene named adenylate kinase 5, chloroplastic-like, with no coding region annotated. NCBI's taxonomy places the organism in Eukaryota, Viridiplantae, Streptophyta, Magnoliopsida, Myrtales, Myrtaceae. The transcript has 8 exons. The record is from RefSeq and is a predicted model, not a curated record.
GGGGAAAAAUCAAAGAAGUUCUCCACAGGUGAAAAAAAAUCGUAAAAAUGAUAAGGGAGUUCAGAUUCUUUUUUUUUCUUUUUUUUUUUUUUUUGGGUCAGAAAAUUUCAGUUUCCUUUACGUUGAAAUCGAACAUGAAAAUAAUUUUCGUGGACCAAAAGGCCCUUACAACUUAAAUUCGGAUUUUCUAGUUCUUUUCUUUAAUUUGUAUCUUUUACAUUGGGCCAAAAUACUUAAUAUCCAAAAUUUUAAAUUUCCUGAUGAAAGAGGAGAGGAAAAGGUCGAUAAUUUCUUUUUGUCUUCUUUCCAUUUCAUAAAAUAAUUAGGUCGAAUUUAAUCAUUUUCCAAUCAAAAUAUUUUCACUUAAUAUGUCAUCAUUUUCCACCUUAAUUUUUCUUUUUCUAUAUCCCAUAUUGAACUUAGGUUUGUGCUUAUUAGUAUUGACCUAGUCCACUGUUAGCUAUUCCAAUUUCCAUCGGAAUCAAACGUUAUCUUCAACUUGCACCAGAAUCACAGCACAAUCAAAAUAUCUGCAUGAGAAACAUUAACAUCUAUUGGUGACUAGAAGUCUAUGACAUAUAUGCUUGCUUAUGCUUCCUGAAAAUUGUCACUUUCUAAUUAGUACAUAGGCCUGAUUAGCUACCUUUGGUUGUCUACCAACAUUUCCUUUGUGUAAUUUUACUUUUGAUUUCCGCAUUAGGUGAAGUCACAUUUGGAAUAUACAAGCAAAAUGCUCAGGCUAUAUUAUCGACUUACUUGAGUAUACUGAAUAAGAUUGAUGGAAAUCGCCCAAAGAGGUGGUUUUCAGUGAAGUAGACUCACUGCCGUCAAGGAUCCAAAAAGAUAAAGCAAAAACAACAAAACUAGGGUAAAUGGCGGGGAAUACCUACUAGGUUGAAUAAUAUUCCUUACUCUAGAGAAAUCUGGACAUAUUUCUACGACGAUGUGCUUCAAGCUAUGCAGAGAGCCAUAUAUGAUGGAAAAACAAGACUGAAGGUAGAAAUCAAUAUCCCAGAGCUAAACCAAGAAAUGGAUGUUUAUAGAAUAGGUACUCUGAUGGAACUUGUCAGAGUUACUGCUCUUUCAUUGAUGGAAAACGUGUUAAGGUUUGUGUUCAAGCGUCCAUGGGAGAAGGUACUCUUAAUGGAAUGCGACUGCAGCUUGCUGGUAGUCGCAAGAUAUUGGAGUUCAUAGAUUGGGGAGAUCACGGUGCAUUAGGAACCUUUGUCAAGAUUGGAUCUAUAGGUGGUGGUUGUCAUAAUACUUGCAGAGAUCCAAAUAUAUAGACUCUAAAGAAUCCAAGUAUACAUGGUGUGGGACUUCCAAGUUCCUCUCUGACAUCCAACCCCAUGCAGGAAUUUUGCCCAACAUGUGAUUAGUGCAUACUUUCAACUUUCAACCUUGUGUUCUCUUCCUUUUUCGACUCAUGGGGGCUUAAAAUUUAAAUGUUUAUGAUAGUGAGAGGGCUCAUAUAUCAAUCUCGUAUGCUCAGAUGGUCGUUGCAUUAGAUGCAUUGGAUGUUAAAUUGCUAUUCCACCUCUGAUCCAUAGCCGCAUUUCUAUCAUUAGCUUAUGUCGCUUUUAAGAGCCAUUUCACUGGGCAAUCAUUUCACAAUGUGUAGCUUUACUAAGCCUUAAAUCUAGGUUGACGAGCAAGAUGACAUUUUUAUCUUAGUGGCUCCUCAAAAUGCUGUGGGUAACUGUAUCAUCGAUGUAAGAGCUUGAUAGCAAGUGUUUCGUUAAUCCUUUCGCAAUUAUGUCCAUUUUAUGACAUAUGCCGCAACUAUAUGGUUAAGCACCACUUGAUUUUGAGAUUGCAGGAUCUCAGGGGCGUGACUGAAUCUGCUGGUAUGCGUCCAGUCAUCCUCAUCAAUCCUAGGCUUAAGGUUUGUCCCGAAAUUUUCUGUUGAGUUGAACACUUUCAUUGCUUGGGUUAUGACUCUAAUUGCACUUAGCGAGAUAUUUAGCUGAUGAAUGUUGAUAAAUAUCCACGUUUCUGUCCGAUAAUGUCCUACAAGUGAGGCUGCAGCCAUAUUCAGCAGCUGGUCAUUAUUUGGUCAGUACAAAAACAGACUAGUAGAAAUCAUCUCUCAGUCAGGUUUCCUUGAUUUACAGAGUUACGGAGGUAAGCUAUUCUUCAAACAAAAAUCAGCCAAAAUCUUGUAUAAAAUGACCCCAAGAAACUGAGAAAUUUCUUCAGAGUAAUGCUUGCAUGUUAUUACCAUUCUUAAUCCAUUGCUUAACAUUUUGUCUGCAGACCUGCAUCCAGUGUUUUAGCAGAGUCUGCAACAAAUGUUUUGCCUCUUUCUCAUGAGCAUGGCUCUUUUUCUCCAGGAUUUACCAAGUUCCAGCGGUAUCAUGCAAGUAAGUACAAUGUUAAUAUGGGGAAACAAAAUGGAUAUAGAUUUGAACUGAUUCUCUUUAUCUUGAAAACUUGUUUUGAAGACUAUGGGACGAAACAAGAGACUGGAGUAUGCUGCAUCAUUUGAGAAUUGCUAUUUCUUCCGGCUUCUCUAUUAUGCAGGAACUCAAUACCCAAUUAUGGAUGCUCUCAGGAUGUCCCACCCCUACCCUUCGAAUUGUACACAUGAGUC